GCAUUGAGGACAAGAUCGCC
Molecule: unclassified non-coding RNA, 20 nt
Filed under: Chlamydomonas reinhardtii
Lineage: Eukaryota; Viridiplantae; Chlorophyta; Chlorophyceae; Chlamydomonadales; Chlamydomonadaceae
Description: small RNA Cre_1686
Source: RNAcentral